CAGAAUAAACGCUGGCGGCGUGCCUGACACAUGCAAGUCGAGCGUGAAAGGUCUCGGACUAAGUAAAGCGGCGAACGGGUGAGUAACGCGUGAGAAUCUACCUUCAGUGAGGAAUACCUUCGAGAAAUUGAAGUUAAUACUGCAUACGUCCCUCCGGGGAGAAAGAUGGCCUCUUUGCUGUCGCUGAAAGAUGAGCUUGCGUACGAUUAGCUAGUUGGUAGGGUAAAGGCCUACCAAGGCGAAGAUCGUUAGCCGGCCUGAGAGGGUGUACGGCCACACUGGAACUUAGACACGGUCCAGACUCCUACGGGAGGCAGCAGUGAGGAAUCUUGCACAAUGGGCGAAAGCCUGAUGCAGCGACGCCGCGUGGAAGGAUGAAGGUCUUAGGAUUGUAAACUUCUGUUAAGUGGGAAGAAAUGUUCCGUUAUAAUACAGCGGAAAAAUGACGGUACCAUUAGAGAAAGCACCGGCUAACUUCGUGCCAGCCGCAGC
RNAcentral lists this ribosomal RNA (492 nucleotides) under uncultured bacterium. Its description in RNAcentral is "bacterial SSU rRNA". It matches the Rfam family "Bacterial small subunit ribosomal RNA", at positions 25 to 518 of the family's 1533-position model. The record is from RNAcentral.